CCAGAAGGAAGCACAUGGAGAACGCCGCCAUCUUGGACUCCGCCAUCUUGGGACGCCAGGUAAGAACUCCUUACAUAAACCAACUGACAAAUCCCUAGUUAUAAAGUCACCUUUCUUAUAUGACACCCUGCUGUAUGUCCCCCACUCAUUAGCUUUCACCCCCCAAUUAUCCCCAUGGCAUGUGACUCUGCUACCCCUUCUAGUUCCAGAUUUGGAUAAAUGGAGCGUGUAUUUAGCUACAGUGUUGGUACUUUAUAGCAGGGCAAAUACCCAGGGGCAGAGGGGCAAAACUGUAAGGAGCCUGUCAAUACUGGUCAUACAAAUAGUGUUAUAGUGAGGCACAGGGGUCCCCAAAUGUUAUCUGUUUAGUCAUCCACUAGUCUUGGGGGCAUCCCCUAACAUUCCCCCCCCUUUUUUUUUUUUACUAAAAUAAGGGUUGUCAAAAAAUCUCUCACAUUUACCACUCACCACUCCAACUAACGGACAAAACCAACUGUCAAAUCCCUGGGGGUAAAGUCACCUCUCAUCUCUGCUCUUAAAUCAUGAGACUUAUAAAUAAAUGUUAUUGUGCAAAAGAAAGAAGCAUUGCUAUUUAUUCCAUUAAAUUCAGUUACAUGCUACCUUCUUAUGGGGUUAUUGUAGAAAAACGUGUAUAUGUGCUGUCAGCCCUGCAUAAAUCCUGAGUCUGUGUAUCCCAACCAGCGCUAAGAUUAAAGUCCUCUCCAAAGCUCAUUUUAGGGGAAAAUUCUUUAAAUUCAGUAAGAGGAACAACAUCCGCUAGUCUGGGGGCAUCACAUAACUAUUUCCCCCCUUAUUUGACUAAAAUAUGGGUUAUUUGUCACAAAAAUCUCUCACAUUUACCACUCACCACUCAACCAAUGGACCAAACCAACUAUCAAAUCCCUGGGUGUAAAGUCACCUCUCAUCUCUGCUCUUAAAUCACGAGACUUAUACAUAAAUGUUAUUGUGUAAAAGGAAGAUGCAUUGCUAUUUAUUACUUCUUAUGGAGUUACUGUAGAAAAGGUGUAUAUGUGCUGUCAGCCCUGCAUAACUGCCAAAUCCUGAGUCUGUGUCUCCCAACCAGCACUAAGAUUAAAGUCAUCUCCAAAGCCCAUUUUAGGGGAAAAGUCUCUAAAUUCACUAAAAUCAGUGAGAGGAUAAAUAUCUGUUAGUCUGGGGAGUGUCACCCAACUAUUUUCCCUCUUUUUUCAUUAAAAUAAGCAUUAUUUGACAAAAAAUAUCUCCCAGAGGGAAUAUCCACUUACCAAUCACCACGGUGGCAACCAACGGACUGAACCAACUGUCACAGCCCUAGGGUGAAGUCACCUCUGUUCCCUGCUCUUAAAGGGGAAGUGUACCCUGUAAGUAAGGUUCAUAAUAGUAAGUUGUAUAUGGCAUUUAUUUCCACUUCCACUUCCACUUACUGUGCUGCCAUAUCUUUUUGAUUCAUGAAUUCAUCAGCCAUGGAUUCAAUCAUUGCUGCUGCUCCUGUUAUUUUUGUUUUAUAAAACGCUGUGUCCCCUUUCACUGUGCCCUAGGGAGACUCGGCAAACCCCUGGGGACACAGGAAAGUACAGAGGGCAUUGGAGAGAUUAAUUUGUGAACCUUCCUUCAUGUGCCAUUUUGGAUCACAGUGAUAGAAGCACUGCUUGGAUGAAAGAUGGCACAUGAAGGAAGGUUCACAUAAUUACAUUAAAGAUGAUUUGGGAAGGGAUAAUGUCUGAGGAGGCCAAGAUGCUUAUGUAAGUAGGACUGAUCCUUUUAAAAUCUGAUAAUUUGCCCAAGCCCUGUAACCAAUAGAAACCAGUGAUGCAUUUGUGACUUUCACCUGUCCAUAUCCUCCAUUUUUAAUACCUUCAGAACCUAUAAAACUGUUUGUCUUUUUCCUGUGGCCCAAACGUAGUUGCCUGUGAUAACGUAGUUAUCUCAAUUUCUUCAAUAGGCUGAUUGCAAUUUCAAACUCCACCAUAAAUUACUGAAUAAAGCAGCGGUUUUCAUAUUUUAUUAAUACAAGCCUCACUUGAAGGUCCAUCCUCUGGCCAGGGCCUACUUUAGCUCAUGAAAUGAGUACAGGAAUAGGAAAAUAUUGGUGUAUCGUGAUUUCAUUAUAUCAUGGUUUCAAGAAUAUGAAUUGAAGUGUUGGUCAGUGUUUAGCCCAGCUCUCUGGUGGAUCAGUCUAAUCACGUUACCUUUCUUUUCUCUCUCAUUUAGAAGUGUUCGUGUGGGAAGUGGUCAGCAAGAGUGAAAUUCCAUUUGAACAUUUUUUCAACUUAUGGAGGCUGGACUAAGGCUCUUCAAACCCAAGAUGUCUCUUGAAAGAGUGUACAUGCUGAUGAGCAACUACUGGUGAUUAUGACCAAGCGUACAAAGAACAUGAGCAAAUUCAGUUCUGUCACUGUAUCAACAAUUGAUGAAGAAGAGGAGGAGAUUGAAGCGGGAGAAGUUGCAGAUUCCAAGCCCAAAAUGCAGCUGGAAAGAAAGGGCAUGAGCAAGAGGAGGCUGCAGGAGUUGGUAAUAGCCAUCAUACAUGGAAGAUACAGCAGUCCAUGCACUGACCACUUCACUUUGCUUAGAUUUUUUGUGAGGAUCAGUGUCUCCACCUAUAUAUAUGCACAUGUUUUGUCCACCAUAUACAACUCUGGCGCUCUCAUCACAACAGUUACACCCUUAUAGAAAUACUGUGGGCAGGUAGAGGUUAAAUGUCCUAUGGCUGGAGGCAGCUCUUUAGAUCUAGGCAUCCUAGAGAAACCCUUGUUUUUACCUGUUCUGUUCUGAUAAUAAUAAUAAUAAGCACAGAUCUCUGGGUAACCACUUCACAUUUUAAUAGGGGAUAUGUAUGGCAUUGCUCUGGUCUGAAGAGCAUUUUCAUCACCACUAUAUGAACAAUUCCCUUUAAUUUUAAUGGGAAGUGCUACUGCCAGUGAUUAUAAUUGGCCAAGAGGGCUGUCUUUCAGUAUUUACCAAUAAUGUUAAUUUACUGUAAAACAAACUUCAAUAGAAUCCUACCUCUAUGGGUUAAAUACUGUGGUGCUCUAUCUGGGAACUUUGCUGCUCUUCAGUUCCAUACAUGAAGCAAUAACAAUGAGAAAUCAAAUGGCACUCACCAAGCAAAAUGUGCUGAAUUUUUGUGGUUUAUUCAGAUCUCUGCACAAAGUUUCAGGGGAUCAACCCCGUUUCUCAAGUGCUCUUACAAAAGUGAACAGGAAACAGGUAUAAAUAGUAGGGAUGCACCGAAUCCAGGAUUCGGUUCGGGAUUUGGCCAG
This is a long non-coding RNA of Xenopus laevis (African clawed frog), 3263 nucleotides long. RefSeq lists it as uncharacterized. NCBI's taxonomy places the organism in Eukaryota, Metazoa, Chordata, Amphibia, Anura, Pipidae. The record is from RefSeq and is a predicted model, not a curated record. The transcript has 3 exons.